GUAAACAGUGAGCGUGGCCUUGGGAAGACAGCCCUCCCACCCUGGUGCCUUGGUUGGCUCAUUCAGAAAUGAUGACGUCCAUUUUUCCGCCCUCCCCUACCUGACAUUCCAAUCACCUUUGUUGACUUUCUGUGUACAGGAUGGUGGAGCAAACAUUUCCCAAAUUCCUGGAAACCUGUCUAGGUCUGCCAGUACCAAGCAGUGUGGCCCUGGAUCUUCUGGUUUUUGUUGUUGAGUCAGGGGCUCAUCCUCUGUUACAUGUAUUGAGUUGCUCUUCAGGGACCCUUCAGCUCAUUCUCUGAAAAAUAUAAAAAUCCAACUCCAGCCCAUGCUUCAGGAGUCCCCCAGACUCAUCCUUCCUUCCAUGGUCCAGGGCGAGGAGGAGUGGAGGGCACACAUCUCCUGGAGGAUACGACUACUUGAUCAAGACUUCAUCUUGAUUAUCCCAUUACAGACCCUAUCAGUCAGUAAACUGUUGGAUGUGCCAGCACAAGGGCCUGGGGUUGGAUCUCCAGUGCUCACGUAAGAGGUGGGUUAUGGUGGCCAGUGUCUGUAGUCCCAGCUACAGGGUGGAGAGAGAGGCUUGGUGCCAGGAGGUGAGGCAGAAGA
RNAcentral lists this long non-coding RNA (609 nucleotides) under Mus spicilegus (steppe mouse). Its description in RNAcentral is "lncRNA (ENSMSIG00000015581.1)". Lineage: Eukaryota; Metazoa; Chordata; Mammalia; Rodentia; Muridae. The record is from RNAcentral.